Molecule: ribosomal RNA, 490 nt
Filed under: Enterococcus faecalis
Lineage: Bacteria; Bacillati; Bacillota; Bacilli; Lactobacillales; Enterococcaceae
Description: bacterial SSU rRNA
Rfam family: Bacterial small subunit ribosomal RNA
Source: RNAcentral
GCAUGGUUGUCGUCAGCUCGUGUCGUGAGAUGUUGGGUUAAGUCCCGCAACGAGCGCAACCCUUAUUGUUAGUUGCCAUCAUUUAGUUGGGCACUCUAGCGAGACUGCCGGUGACAAACCGGAGGAAGGUGGGGAUGACGUCAAAUCAUCAUGCCCCUUAUGACCUGGGCUACACACGUGCUACAAUGGGAAGUACAACGAGUCGCUAGACCGCGAGGUCAUGCAAAUCUCUUAAAGCUUCUCUCAGUUCGGAUUGCAGGCUGCAACUCGCCUGCAUGAAGCCGGAAUCGCUAGUAAUCGCGGAUCAGCACGCCGCGGUGAAUACGUUCCCGGGCCUUGUACACACCGCCCGUCACACCACGAGAGUUUGUAACACCCGAAGUCGGUGAGGUAACCUUUUUGGAGCCAGCCGCCUAAGGUGGGAUAGAUGAUUGGGGUGAAGUCGUAACAAGGUAGCCGUAUCGGAAGGUGCGGCUGGAUCACCUCCUUU